CCAACCAACCCAGAGAACACUCAAAGAAACCAAGCGAAGUGCAGUUUAACAGUCAAGUCACGAGGACAUUGCAUGCGAACAGUACCAGUAGCAAUAGUAACAAUAUAAUAUGACGCUACACAUUUACAUUUCCACUCACACACAACAUCCAUCAAUCCUGUUACUCAGUGCUGCUCAGAGACCUGCUGCUGGCAGCUUGUAUCCUCACUCACUCUAAGUUUGUAACCAUGUUCAGAAGAAAUGGUCACUUAGUUUCCCUUCAGCAAAGCCCUAGUGCCCUAGGCGGCCCUGUUUGUUAAAUACAGCUUAAAUGUAGUUUUGAAAAGCUAAGCAACUCUAAGAAAUCGUGAGUGAGCAGAGUUUUAAUCUUCUGGUAGUCACGGCCAGUUACGGAGCUACAGUGCAGACAACGACCAUCACUGCUCCUGCGGGCAUUCCCAUGAGGAUCCUGUACUCCAGAGGAGCAGAGCACUCCCUGUACUGAAACUCCACUUCCAGUUUCCUGCAGUGAACUGCACCGGCUCAGAAGUGAAGGGUCAGGCCGCCAAGUCUGCAUCUACGCUGAGGAGGACCAACUUACAUUUUAAGUCCUCGGGGGUUAAGGAGUCACUUUCCAGCAG
Molecule: long non-coding RNA, 620 nt
Organism: Rattus norvegicus (Norway rat)
Lineage: Eukaryota; Metazoa; Chordata; Mammalia; Rodentia; Muridae
Source: RefSeq, a predicted model, not a curated record